GUUUCGAAGAUCCAAAAACUCUUAGUCUCUAGCGAGAAGGUAAAUUAACAGCCAAAUAGUGAUCUGUAACGAAGGUUCUCUCAAGUCGCACGGGCCAAAAAUCAUGAGUUGGAACGCUGGAGGCCUCGAUGAUGCCCAUUGGAACGACGGUGGUGAUAAUGACAUGACAUGGAAUCCUCCAGGGGACAAAAUCGAGUUCGAUACUGGAGAUUUCGGUGGAGGAAAAGAAUUUGG
RNAcentral lists this small RNA (234 nucleotides) under Histoplasma capsulatum var. duboisii H88. Its description in RNAcentral is "Histoplasma capsulatum H88 hypothetical RNA". Lineage: Eukaryota; Fungi; Ascomycota; Eurotiomycetes; Onygenales; Ajellomycetaceae. The record is from RNAcentral.